GCUUAGCCCUAAACCUCAGUAGUUAAACCAACAAAACUACUCGCCAGAAUACUACAAGCAACCGCUUGAAACUCAAAGGACUUGGCGGUGCUUCACACCCCCCUAGAGGAGCCUGUCCCAUAAUCGAUAAACCCCGAUCCACCCCACCCUCUCUUGCUCAGCCUAUAUACCGCCAUCUUCAGCGAACCCUGAUAAAGGUUAACAAAGUGAGCGCAAAUGCCCCCUUUCGCAAAAACGUUAGGUCAAGGUGUAGCCUAUGAGAUGGAAAAAGAUGGGCUACAUUUUCUAUACUAGAAAACCCACGAUAACUCUCAUGAAACCUAAGAGUCUAAGGAGGAUUUAGCAGUAAAUUAAGAAUAGAGUGCUUAAUUGAACGAGGCCAUAAAGCACGC
Molecule: ribosomal RNA, 392 nt
Filed under: Chlorocebus pygerythrus (vervet)
Lineage: Eukaryota; Metazoa; Chordata; Mammalia; Primates; Cercopithecidae
Description: 12S ribosomal RNA
Rfam family: Bacterial small subunit ribosomal RNA
Source: RNAcentral